Molecule: non-coding RNA, 218 nt
Filed under: Pseudomonas caspiana
Lineage: Bacteria; Pseudomonadati; Pseudomonadota; Gammaproteobacteria; Pseudomonadales; Pseudomonadaceae
Source: RNAcentral
ACCUGCGCGCUUGUUUCAGGUGCUCAACGUCUGCGGACUGAUUGAGUGAAACAGGGAAGCCGGUGCGUUUGCUUUUUUUCGAGCUAUUCCGGCGCUGCCCCCGCAACGGUAAAUGAGUGAAAACUGCGCAAUCUGCCACUGUGCUCAAGCAUGGGAAGGCGCGCAGCCGGGUUCGCCCGCUCAUGAGCCCGGAGACCGGCCUGAUCCAUUCAACAGCA